AUUGAACGCUGGCGGCAUGCCUUACACAUGCAAGUCGAACGGUAACAGGGAGCUUGCUCCGCUGACGAGUGGCGAACGGGUGAGUAAUGUAUCGGAACGUACCUUUUAGUGGGGGAUAACGUAGCGAAAGUUACGCUAAUACCGCAUAUUCUCUGAGGAGGAAAGCAGGGGACCUUCGGGCCUUGCGCUAAUAGAGCGGCUGAUAUCAGAUUAGCUAGUUGGUGAGGUAAAGGCUCACCAAGGCGACGAUCUGUAGCGGGUCUGAGAGGAUGAUCCGCCACACUGGAACUGAGACACGGUCCAGACUCCUACGGGAGGCAGCAGUGGGGAAUUUUGGACAAUGGGGGCAACCCUGAUCCAGCCAUGCCGCGUGAGUGAAGAAGGCCUUCGGGUUGUAAAGCUCUUUCGGCCGGGAAAAAAUCGCAUGGGUUAAUACCCUGUGUGGAUGAUGGUACCGGAAUAAGAAGCACCGGCUAACUACGUGCCAGCCGCCGCAGUAA
This 500-nucleotide ribosomal RNA is filed under the name uncultured bacterium. RNAcentral describes it as "partial 16S ribosomal RNA". It matches the Rfam family "Bacterial small subunit ribosomal RNA", at positions 30 to 523 of the family's 1533-position model. The record is from RNAcentral.